GAUGAACGCUGGCGGCGUGCCUAAUACAUGCAAGUCGAGCGAACAGACGAGAGUGCUUGCACUCUCUGACGUUAGCGGCGGACGGGUGAGUAACACGUGGGUAACCUACCUAUAAGACUGGGAUAACUUCGGGAAACCGGAGCUAAUACCGGAUAAUAUUUAGCUUCGCAUGAAGCAAUAGUGAAAGACGGUUCUGCUGUCACUUAUAGAUGGACCCGCGGUGUAUUAGCUAGUUGGUGAGGUAACGGCUCACCAAGGCAACGAUACAUAGCCGACCUGAGAGGGUGAUCGGCCACACUGGGACUGAGACACGGCCCAGACUCCUACGGGAGGCAGCAGUAGGGAAUCUUCCGCAAUGGACGAAAGUUUGACGGAGCAAUGCCGCGUGAGUGAAGAAGGUUUUCGGAUCGUAAAACUCUGUUGUAAGGGAAGAACAAGUACGUUAGUAACUGAACGUACCUUGACGGUACCUUACCAGGAAGCCACGGCUAACUACGUG
Molecule: ribosomal RNA, 499 nt
Filed under: uncultured bacterium
Lineage: Bacteria
Description: partial 16S ribosomal RNA
Rfam family: Bacterial small subunit ribosomal RNA
Source: RNAcentral